Long non-coding RNA from Nicotiana attenuata, 4926 nucleotides. RefSeq lists it as uncharacterized. The transcript is spliced from 7 exons. NCBI's taxonomy places the organism in Eukaryota, Viridiplantae, Streptophyta, Magnoliopsida, Solanales, Solanaceae. The record is from RefSeq and is a predicted model, not a curated record.
GUUGGGGCAAACAUGAGGACAACAAUACAUAAGUUUUCUUAUUCCUUCUUCUUCGCACAUUCUAGAACUGUUCCUCUUCCAUACCUCCACUCUCUCUCUCUCUCUCACACAUAAUUUUUGCCCCUUAGCUCCCUCCAGCUUCUUACCUUUUGUUUCUUGUUUUCUUUUCGAAAUUCCAAUUUGCUUUAGUGUUUUUGAAUUUUUUAUUUUCGUCUUCCUCUUCGAAAUCCAUAGACGAUAUUUUUUCACGUCGUGGCAGACUCUACAGAAAUAUCUCAUGUUUAUUGUAGAAGCACCCGGGCCUUGGCUCUUUUCUUAAUUGAUUCUGCGAUGCAUGUUCUCUCUUUAAUAUUUGGUGUCAAAUUUGUUGGUUCUGUCCAAAGUGCCUCAAAGGAUAUUCUCUGACCCCAUGGUUAAAAAAAGUCCCAAAUUUAUGACAGCUAUUGUGCAGUUCUUGAGCUUUUGGUACAUUUAGUUAAUUGAUUUUGCAUAUGCAUGUAUUUAUUGACUAUUUCUUUUCGAUUCCGUAGUAGUCAGUCAUAUUAGGAAGAACUCAAUGAUAUAGAGAAAGACUCUGUGAACAAAAUUUUAAAAGUGCAAUCUUAAAUUGAAAAUUAAGAACUAUUGGAAAUUUUGGGUGUUCUGCCCAGUUAUCAACCCUUCAUUUUCUUGUGCAAAUUUGGCGCCCAAGUAUAUAUUUUGUGUGCUGUAAGGAUUACAAUUGAUAAAAGAAGGUUUAAGCUAAAGCAAUAUCUUAUGAUACAUUAAUACAGAUUCACAAUUUUUAGUAUAUCUCAGAGACCAACAGAAGUUAGAAGAACGAGCUGGAAAUGUUGAUGUAAGAUCAAGAGACAUUCGGAAGCUCUCAUUGCAGUCGUGGUACAACUAUUACAGGAGUUUCCUGCGGGAAAACUGAAACUAUAGAUUGAUGCAAUCAUGUCACUUUCUAUGCUCACAGUGACUCCUGAGGAGCUAGCAGCUGCAGCCAACUACUUGAAGGAUACUCUUGGCAAAGAAGGGGUUCAAGAACUUAUCAGCAACCUUUCCAAAGGUACAUGUCAGUUUUUAAUUUUGUUCGAAAUUAGAAAGAUCCAUGCUUUAACUGUUGAUUUAUGGUUCUUAUUGGAACUCCUGUGGAAGAUCUUCACAAACAAAUUGACAUUGCUUAGAAUUUGGCUUAAAUAACUAAAGCUUUUUGCAGUUUAAAAGCCUUUUUUGUUGAGUCACUGUUUGUUUGAUUGCAAUUAAUAGAUAUCACAUUUGAUGGUCUUUCUCUGUAGCUUUUAGUAAAGACAUUUUAUGCGAGUUUAUUAGAAGAGUUAUACCAUUAAAGAAGUCACAUACUAAGCAUAGUCCUUGGAUUAAGAGUCUCAAACCUCAAUUGUCAUCAAAGAGGACAGGUUAACUAAAUAAUUACCCUGUGUGUAUUCAAAUCUAUGACAUCAUUGGUAGUAAAUAAUAGACGUCGGAAAAGUUAGCAAUAACAUUGUAUGGACACUAAAGAUUCCUUAUAUAACUACCUUUUUGUGGUUCCUGAUUCCUGAUAAUGACCCUUAUUUUUUUCCCAGUUGUUUUUAAUUUAAUUCAUUUUUCCAGAACAGUCAGAGAACUGUCACCUCUUACUGUGUCUGUUUUUUCCUUUUCUUUUAACAUUUUCCCAUUCCCUAUAAUUUCUUGAAUUGGAUGUUUAGUUCACAGAGGAUUUUCUUCUUUGGCUUGAUACUGAAGUUGUUGUACUUUGUGAAUGAAAUAAACACGUCUUUAUAAGCAGCAACUCUUGCUAGGACCUAUAAUGGAGAUUUAUGUAUUUGCAGAAGUAGAUACUGCUAAUGUUCAUCCUUCAAAAUGUAAAUGCUUUAGCAAAAAAGUAAUUUCAUAUGAGACCCGCACAAUUUAAGAUUAGGAUCAAGGGUUUACAAAUGAUAAACUAUGUGCUAACGUUGUUUCUAUUUUCCAGGAUGAGCAUACAGAUUAUUACGAUGUGUAAAAAUAAGAAUGGAGAUGUAGAGAUGGGCGUAUAGAUUAUUACGAAUGUGUAUAAAUGAGAAUGGAGAUGCAGAAUUAGCAACUAGAGCUAUGACAGAUAGGGAUCUAAUUAAAUUAGGAAUGACCAAAACUACAUUGCUAUUCAAAUUUUUGGGUUCAGCAAGGUAUUUAAACAACUUUAUUUACAAUGUCUCCCUUCACCGUUGCUUUUCUAUCUAAUGUAACCAUUGAUUACUCUUUUAGGCAGUAUGGAGUGUGACAAAUCCUAUAAUGAUUUAUUUGGCAAUAUUCUUUUGCAUAGACUAUCAGGAAUCUGUGAGUUGAUUAAUCAUGGGUAAAGAAUUUUGGUGAUAUGACUUGUUGUAGAUGAGAAAAAAUUGUUGAAUAUUGUUUGGCUCAUACAUGGCAUAAAUCUGCUUUAACCUGAGAACAAUACAAUACAUUUAUGAUAAAGGGUGAGAUAGAUGAGAUCCAUUCUUCAUCGUCAAAGGUGUUGGUCCUUUAUUGUCUAUUUGUUGCCGUUAUCUUUUUCUCAUGAGCUUCAUAAUCUGGUUUCUUCUACGAGUAGUUUGUCCAUCACAUUUUGUUCUGUGUUUCGAGUUAAGAUGUAAUAAUUUUUUUUUAAUUUUUAGUAGGCCAUAAGAGGUUAAGCCAGAUCUACUCAUAUGAAUCCACAUGCAAGAAAAUAAAUUCUUUUAUUCAAUGUAUACACAUAAAGAAUGAAACUAGACAAAUAAAAAGGUAAAAGUAAGAUGAUUUACCGUUCUUAUUUGUAAUAGGCAUUUCUGUUAGAGCUAUGUGUCUUUACAUACAUACAUACACAUGCAUAUACAUACAUACUAAAGAAAAAAUGGACUAUUUUUUAUAAGUUGGAAGAAUGGUAGAUAAAGGAAGAAUCAUUCUUAUACCUAUAUACUGUGAUUAUUUGCAUCAUCCAAAAUUCUCCUACUAUAACAGAAUUAUUUGUGAACACUAUUUCACAGCAACUCAAAUUACUUGCUAUCAAACUCUAACCCCAAUGUACCACAAUAUUUUCGUCAUUAUGCUAAUCGAAUAAAUGUAUCGACCAGAACUAUGAUUCACCACCCAAAAGAAGCUGAAAGUAAAGCAUGAUAUUUGUACCUUUUUACUUCCCUGUAUAUGGAGCUUGAUAUCUUGCACAAUAGAAAAGAUUAUGGUUGCAAGAUUAGAUACUCCUAGGAGUUAUGUGUGCCUCUGCUAAAUUCUUCACCAUCUAACUGUAAAUAAGUAAAAGUUCAUAGGCAUGAGAGAUAUUCUUCUCAUGAUUUAAAUUAAAGCACCAAAAAAUAAUUCAUCAGUUUGAAAUGAAUUUAUUUUUGAAAUUGUAGCUUUCCUAGAGAGCAAAGAAAUAACACACCCUUAUUGGAGUAGAUAGAAACACAAAAAGCUCUAUCUAAUAUUGGAUUCUCGCGUGCACAGGCCACGACAUGCUCUCGGGCCCGUGCGUAGCACGGGAGCCUACAUCUAGUUUUAACUAUAUAAUAAGUGGAGGUUCUGAGGUACGAAGAAGGGCAUUUUCGUAAUUUGAGGAAUUCUUGUUGCUUUCAUUUCUAAACACGUGUUAUAUAAGUGCCACUUUCUUUUUGCCCUGUUCCUAAUCUACUCUUCUGUGUCUCACUCAGCUUCUUUGUUUCUUGGCUCUCUCAGUAUCAAUAUUUCCUUCUCCAUUUUUCUUGUAAUUCAUGUUUGAGUUUUUUCUUCGCUCCAUCACAUUCUUUCAUACUCUUUAGUUUAUUCUGCUCCUCUGCAUUCUACCUGUUGCCGGUGAGUUUCGAUUUUAUUUUUUGAUUUUGAGAUUUUUUUAGUUGAUUUUCUAAUUGAUUAAUUUGAUAUUCUUUCAGAUUUGGUCUUUUUCUCUGGUAUUUAGUUUAUAGUCAUUUUGCAUGCACCGAUUUUUCACUUUAUUGACAAUGCCAUCUCCAUGGUGAGCUUCUUUUACAACUGAAAAUAUAUUUCCGCAAUGGGCGAAAGCCUGACGGAGCAAUGCCGCGUGGAGGUAGAAGGCCCACGGGUCGUGAACUUCUUUUAUCGGAGAAGAAGCAAUGACGGUAUCUGGGGAAUAAGCAUCGGCUAACUCUGUGCCAGCAGCCGCGGUAAUACAGAGGAUGCAAGCGUUAUCCGGAAUGAUUGGGAGUCUAUUCCCCAUGGUUUUCCCCUUUCAAGGGUCUUUUGAUUAAAUUUUUAUUUUUUUAUGUUGGAUCUUUAUUCAAAUUUAGUGUUUCUUCCCUUUGUCCUUGACGUGGUGUUUUCUCCAAAAAAUGUUGAUUCUCAUGUGGAUGCACUUACAUUUACUAUAAGGUGAAAGCGAAACAAUUGCAAAAUAUAGAUACAAGGAAGUAGCAGGCGAAGCUUCAUAUUUUAAAAAUCUGCUCUACCGGAGAAAUUGUCAUACAGUGUAGUGCAGGAGGCAAAGUAACUACAUCACACGCAUGUAAAACUGUUGUAGUAUAUUCUCGGAUAUAGUGGUUUCGAAAUAAAAGACAUGUGCCGCUCGUUUCACAGCAUGCCCUGAAGAGCAGAUAAUAAGCUGUAACCAAAUUGAUAGUGAAGAUACUGAUAAUGAAAAUCAAGACGAAUCAGUUGUUGCAAUGAUUGAAGAGCCAAACUCAGAUCUACUAUCAAGCGGUCAUUGAGAAUAGGUGAAACUGAAGGGUACGUAUCUGAAAAAUAAGGAGUAACAACUAUUAUUGCUGGCACAGAGCUACCAGUGACACCAGAAGGGGGUAAUUAUCUUUCAGUUCCAGGUACUUAUCAAUCAGUUAAGGACUCCUCCUUAGACAACAUCCUCCACAUUCAAUUCAGCAACAAUGAUAAAUCAAGUGCCUGCAGAUGUAUGUCAUCUGCAUAAUAAGUUUUUCUUUAGACUUUGCAAAGAUGCCAAUGUCAGAUUUGUAACUGUUAUAUCAGUGUCUCUCAGCC